Molecule: long non-coding RNA, 606 nt
Organism: Austrofundulus limnaeus
Lineage: Eukaryota; Metazoa; Chordata; Actinopteri; Cyprinodontiformes; Rivulidae
Exons: 3
Source: RefSeq, a predicted model, not a curated record
CACAGAGCACAAAGAAAGAACCGAAAGAAACGCUUGAUGACAAAAAGUUUACAAUCAUUGUAUCAGAAAACAUUCAAGCAGAAUCUAUUGACUGCAUUAAAAUCAGAUAUAACAUGAUUUUUCCACAAGAUGAAGUGACAAUCCCAUACAAAAAGAAGUUGUUUGAAGGAGAUCCAUCAAAUAUUGUUCAUUCAAAAACUGUCAAAGAGGUGAAUUCUGAUACAAAUGAUGUUUUCGACUUAAAUGAGCAUCGACGUGGAGAGUUUGAGUAUGGUUUCAUACUGGAAUGGGGCUGUAACCAAACUUAUGUUUUCCCAAAGAAAGUUCAUGUUUCAGUUACUGCUCCAUCAAAACCACGUAUCUUUGUUCCUUAUCUAGUGGAAAGACAACGUGUGAUGUUUUGGUGUAUGGCUCCAUCAUCAUGUUCUCGCAGAGAACAUAUUCACUUUUAUUGGACAACGAAUGAUGGAAAAUCUACAGUACUUGAUGAUGAUAUGGAUUGGUGGUUUGCAAGAGAAAUGUUUUACCUUUAUCCAACAGCAGAGCAUCACAACACCAACAUCACAUGUUUGGUACAAUAUGAACAUGAUGCUGUUGAAACAACUG